CCCUUCCGGAUUUCCCUGAGCGUUUUAUGACGAUCCUGGACCUACUGUGUGGACAGGGAGGGCAGGCCCAGCUUGUAUCAUUCUGAUUGUCAGCGGACACCAUUUUAGGGCCCAUCAGGCUCUUUUGGCUGCUUGAAAAAUCACUAACUGACUAAGAAGAAAAUUAUUUGUGGAAAACUGCAGUUCAUAGCAUGAGAAACCUGGACUGAGGACACAAGGCAAAUGACAACACAGACUACAGCCAGUAAUUUUUGAUUCAACUGUGCAACUGGAUGAAGCCUAAAAAAAAGGAGACAGUACAAAUCGUGAAAGUCAGAAGAUUUCACCUAGGAACCUGGAUUUGUGUAUCAGUUAUCUACUACCAUGAUAAUGCUGCAGAGCAAACAACCACAAAGCUUUGGUGGCAUGCAAAAAGUAAGUUUAUUACUCAUGUGUCUAGGAUAAAUUGAGGUUUAGUUAUGUGGCUUCCUUGAUCUUGGUGGGCUCACACAUCUGGCUUUCAGCUAGGGCAAUUUGUCUUUUCUCUGUAUCCUUGACUCUUAAAUAUGUGUUCUCAUGCUGAUGGUAAAAAUAAAAUAAGAGUAUGCAGAAAUGUGUAAGACUUU
RNAcentral lists this long non-coding RNA (605 nucleotides) under Felis catus (domestic cat). RNAcentral describes it as "lncRNA (ENSFCAG00000047881.1)". The record is from RNAcentral. Lineage: Eukaryota; Metazoa; Chordata; Mammalia; Carnivora; Felidae.